GCUAACGCAGCUGGCCUCCACCUGCUCGACGGCAUGGGUGAAGGUGCCGGGAGUGCACCCCGCCCGGGGGCCCCAAGAGCAUGUGCGAAUCGACCCAGCCCAGCUGAGCUGCGGGGCAGGCAAUGAGGCACGCAUCCUUGUAGUGGAUCAAGCAAACCUGCAGACGCAGAUUGCCUGGGAGACAAAGCAGGUGUGGGGGGGCGGAGGUUGUUACAGACCAGAGCCUGUGAGUGCCCUUGGCCCAGGCCUGGGCCCUAAAGCCCUCCAUGGGCCUGCUCGCCCUCCAAGUAAUCGCUUUGCUUGGUUCUGGAAGGAGGCCAAGGAGGUGCUGGCCUGCCUGGAGCUCAGUUUCUCCAAGAGGAAGAAGGUCCCUUCGGGGAGGCUGCAUGAACCCAGGCUCAGAGUGGCUGUGUACCUCUGUCUACCCAGGCAGCCCCCUGGGACUGGCUGAAGGAAUGAGCAAGCGGGGUCUCCGGCAAGGCUCCCACCAGCUCCCUCCCGGGUUCCAGUAACGCCAGCCCCACCCUACACUGUUGCUUAGGGCUGGCUGCCUCAUUGUUCCCCGAUUUGGUCUUUAAAAAAACUAUCAUUUAGUAUUAAAUCGUGUUCCGA
Molecule: long non-coding RNA, 612 nt
Filed under: Zalophus californianus (California sea lion)
Lineage: Eukaryota; Metazoa; Chordata; Mammalia; Carnivora; Otariidae
Description: lncRNA (ENSZCAG00015001309.1)
Source: RNAcentral